GGGCGUUUAACUCAGUUGGCUAGAGUGUCUCCCUUACAAGGAGAAAGUCGGGGGUUCGAGUCCCUCAACGCCCA
RNAcentral lists this transfer RNA (74 nucleotides) under Acidimicrobiia bacterium. Its description in RNAcentral is "tRNA-Val". It matches the Rfam family "tRNA". Rfam says of the family: Transfer RNA (tRNA) molecules are approximately 80 nucleotides in length. Their secondary structure includes four short double-helical elements and three loops (D, anti-codon, and T loops). RNAcentral also lists the same sequence under 1 other name. Lineage: Bacteria; Bacillati; Actinomycetota; Acidimicrobiia. The record is from RNAcentral.